GGAGGUUUAAUGCUUGUCUUUCACUUUUGAAAAGCGAGCUCCUCUUAAAUGAAUUAGUGGGGUCUGCAUUGUCGGUCCUUGACGUGAUAAGAUGCUUUUCUACGUUUUGGAUUUGGCACUGUGCCCGCUGCUAACCGUCCUAUGGACAAACGAUGGUGCUUCGGUCGCCGUCCGUCUACAUCGGCGGAGGGAGGGCUGGACCCACAAAAGAAAACC
Molecule: unclassified non-coding RNA, 216 nt
Filed under: uncultured Russulaceae
Lineage: Eukaryota; Fungi; Basidiomycota; Agaricomycetes; Russulales; Russulaceae
Description: sequence contains ITS2
Source: RNAcentral